ACCCAGACUCCUACGGGAGGCAGCAGUGGGGGAUAUUGCACAAUGGGGGGAACCCUGAUGCAGCGACGCCGCGUGGGUGAAGGAGCGUUUCGGCGCGUAAAGCCCUAUCGGCAGGGAAGAAGGAGGACGGUACCUGACUAAGAAGCCCCGGCUAACUACGUGCCAGCAGCCGCGGGAAUACGUAGGGGGCAAGCGUUAUCCGGAUUUACUGGGUGUAAAGGGGGCGCAGACGGCAGCGCAAGCCAGGAGUGAAAGCCCGGGGCCCAACCCCGGGACUGCUCUUGGAACUGCGCGGCUGGAGUGCAGGAGGGGCAGGCGGAAUUCCUGGUGUAGCGGUGAAAUGCGUAGAUAUCAGGCAGAACUCCGAUUGCGAAGGCAGCAUACCGGCGCCCGACUGACGCUGAGGCACGAAAGCGUGGGGAUCGAACAGGAUUAGAUACCCUAGUA
This 447-nucleotide ribosomal RNA is filed under the name uncultured bacterium. Its description in RNAcentral is "partial 16S ribosomal RNA". It matches the Rfam family "Bacterial small subunit ribosomal RNA", at positions 329 to 792 of the family's 1533-position model. The record is from RNAcentral.